AACGAACGCUGGCGGCAUGCCUAACACAUGCAGGUCGAACGAGACCUUCGGGUCUAGUGUCGCACGGGUUCGUAACGCGUGGGAACCUGCCCUUAGGUUCGGCAUAACUCUCCGACAGGGGUGCUAAUACCGGAUAAUGUCUUCGGCCCAAUGAUUUAUUGCCUUUGGAUGGGCGCGAGUUGGAUUAGCUGGUUAGUAGGGUAAAAGCCUCACAAGGCGACAAUCCAUAGCUGGUCUGAGAGGAUGAUCAGCCACACUGGGACUAGGACGCGGCCCGGACUCCUACGCGAUGGAGCAGAGCGGAAUAGUGGACAAUGGGCGAAGGCAUGAUCCACUAAUGCCCCGAGAGUGAUGAAGUUAUUAGAGUUGAAAUGCUCUAGUAACCAGGAAGAUAAUGACAGUACCGAAACAGUAAGCCACGGCUAACUACGUG
RNAcentral lists this ribosomal RNA (433 nucleotides) under uncultured bacterium. RNAcentral's name for it is "partial 16S ribosomal RNA". It matches the Rfam family "Bacterial small subunit ribosomal RNA", at positions 29 to 507 of the family's 1533-position model. The record is from RNAcentral.